UACGGGGGGGCAAGCGUUGUUCGGAAUUACUGGGCGUAAAGGGCUCGUAGGUGGCCAACUAAGUCGGACGUGAAAUCCCUCGGCUUAACCGGGGAACUGCGUCCGAUACUGGUUGGCUUGAGUUUGGGAGAGGGAUGCGGAAUUCCAGGUGUAGCGGUGAAAUGCGUAGAUAUCUGGAGGAACACCGGUGGCGAAGGCGGCAUCCUGGACCGGUAUUGACGCUGAGGCGCGAAAGCCAGGGGAGCAAACGGG
RNAcentral lists this ribosomal RNA (252 nucleotides) under uncultured bacterium. RNAcentral's name for it is "partial 16S ribosomal RNA". It matches the Rfam family "Bacterial small subunit ribosomal RNA", at positions 524 to 776 of the family's 1533-position model. The record is from RNAcentral.